AUUCAUCUUCUUCAAAUCAAAAUCAUUCAUGUUCUCAAAUUCAUCCAAAUCAAAAGUCUGGAAACACAGUGUUGGUCGAAAUCGGAAAAGAAGAUGAAGUUCAAAGAGGUUGAAAUCAAAAUCAAAAUUCUGAAAAACGCAAGAUUGAGGAUGAAUUGAAGAUCUGCAUCGAAAAAGAGGAAGAAAAGGGAAAAAUCUAAAACCCUAGAAGUUUUCCCCUAUUAUGAUUUUGGGGUUUGGGAUGAAGUUCAUGAUGAAUUUCUGAAUUCAGGAUUGGGUUUGGCACUGCUUUUUCAGUAGAAACAAAAAAAUCAAUGAGAAAUAUUGUUGAAAUGGGAAAACAACCCAUUUGGGUUUGAAGAAGAUGAACAGGGGGAAUAAGAAGAAGAACAACCACGAUUAAGAAGAUGAACACAAAUUUGAUGUUACUGAAGACUAGUCGCUGUUGAAUGAACUCUACAUUAAUACUGUUAAAAUUUUAGUGUUAUUUCAGGAAUAUGGUGGUCAGAAAGAGAGGAAUAUAGUGGUUACAAGGAGAAAAGAUGAACACUUUGUGUGGAGAAAAGAUGAUGGAGAGAUCUGAUGAAAUCAACAAAUUAAUUAACAGAUAUGAAGGAGAGAUUCUUUCAAAAAAAUAA
This 638-nucleotide long non-coding RNA is filed under the name Medicago truncatula (barrel medic). RNAcentral describes it as "lncRNA gene18642". The record is from RNAcentral. Lineage: Eukaryota; Viridiplantae; Streptophyta; Magnoliopsida; Fabales; Fabaceae.